RNAcentral lists this non-coding RNA (81 nucleotides) under Paenibacillus wynnii. RNAcentral describes it as "c-di-GMP sequence". It matches the Rfam family "c-di-GMP-I-GGC riboswitch aptamer". Lineage: Bacteria; Bacillati; Bacillota; Bacilli; Caryophanales; Paenibacillaceae. The record is from Rfam by way of RNAcentral.
AACGACAAAGGCAAACCUAUCGAAAGAUAGGGACGCAAAGCUAUAGGGCCUUUCGCAAGAGUGGCAGCCUGGCUACCGAGA